GACGAACGCUGGCGGCGUGCUUAACACAUGCAAGUCGAUCGGUGAAGCGCCUUCCUUUUUGGUGGGUGUGGAUGAGUGGCGAACGGUUGAGUAACACUUGAGUAACCUGCCCCCUGCUUCUGGAUAACCGCAUGAGAGUUUGUCUAAGACGGGAGAUUCUGGUGCUGGGUCAUGGUUGGUCUGUGAAGGAGAUUGUUUCGGGGGUGGAUGGGCGCGCGGCCUAUGAUUUGGUUGGGGGGGUGAUGGCCUACGAAGGCGGGGAGGGGUAGAAGGCCUGAGAGGGUGGCCGGUCAGACUGGGAGACAGACACGGCUCAGACUCCUACGAGAGGCAGCAGUGGGGAAUAUUGCACAAUGGGGGAAAGCCUGAUGCAGCGACGCCGCGGGAGGGAUGGCGGCCCUCGGGUUGUGAACGUCUUUCGCCAGUGAAGCAGGCCUGCCUCGUUUGUGGGUGGGUUGACGGUAGCUGGAUAAGAAGCGCCGGCUAACUACGUG
RNAcentral lists this ribosomal RNA (494 nucleotides) under uncultured bacterium. RNAcentral's name for it is "partial 16S ribosomal RNA". It matches the Rfam family "Bacterial small subunit ribosomal RNA", at positions 28 to 507 of the family's 1533-position model. The record is from RNAcentral.